RNAcentral lists this ribosomal RNA (274 nucleotides) under uncultured bacterium. Its description in RNAcentral is "partial 16S ribosomal RNA". It matches the Rfam family "Bacterial small subunit ribosomal RNA", at positions 523 to 796 of the family's 1533-position model. The record is from RNAcentral.
AUACGAAGGGGGCUAGCGUGGUUCGGAAUUACUGGGCGUAAAGCGCGCGUAGGCGGACUGAUCAGUUGGGGGUUAAAUCCCAGGGCUUAACCCUGGAACUGCCUCCAAUACUGUCAGUCUUGAGUUCGGGAGAGGUGAGUGGAAUUCCUAGUGUAGAGGUGAAAUUCGUAGAUAUUAGGAAGAACACCAGUGGAGAAGGCGGCUCACUGACCCGAUACUGACGCUGAGGCGCGAAAGCGUGGGGAGCAAACAGGAUUAGAAACCCUAGUAGUCC